This 225-nucleotide ribosomal RNA is filed under the name Clostridioides difficile. Its description in RNAcentral is "partial 23S ribosomal RNA". It matches the Rfam family "Bacterial large subunit ribosomal RNA", at positions 398 to 625 of the family's 2925-position model. The record is from RNAcentral. Lineage: Bacteria; Bacillati; Bacillota; Clostridia; Peptostreptococcales; Peptostreptococcaceae.
AGAUAUGAUCCAGAGUACCACGGGACACGUGAAACCCUGUGGGAAGCAGGAGGGACCACCCUCCAAGGCUAAAUACUACCUAGUGACCGAUAGCGUAGAGUACCGUGAGGGAAAGGUGAAAAGAACCCCGGGAGGGGAGUGAAAUAGAACCUGAAACCCUGCACUUACAAGCUGUGGAAGCACAUUUCUUGUGUGACCGCGUACUUUUUGUAGAACGGGCCAACG